RNAcentral lists this unclassified non-coding RNA (378 nucleotides) under plant metagenome. RNAcentral's name for it is "partial contains 5.8S ribosomal RNA, internal transcribed spacer 2, and large subunit ribosomal RNA". The stretch from base 1 to 105 matches the Rfam family "5.8S ribosomal RNA", at positions 50 to 154 of the family's 154-position model. The record is from RNAcentral.
GAAAUGCGAUAAGUAAUGUGAAUUGCAGAAUUCAGUGAAUCAUCGAAUCUUUGAACGCACCUUGCGCUCCUUGGUAUUCCUUGGAGCAUGCCUGUUUGAGUAUCAUGAAAUCUUCAAAGUAAAUCUUUUGUUAACUCAAUUGGUUUCUACUUUGGUAUUGGAGGUCUUUGCAGCUUCACACCUGCUCCUCUUUGUUCAUUAGCUGGAUCUCAGUGUUAUGCUUGGUUCCACUCGGCGUGAUAAGUUAUCUAUCGCUGAGGACACUGUAAAAGGUGGCCAAGGUAAAUGCAGAUGAACCGCUUCUAAUACUCCAUUGACUUGGACAAUACUUUUAUGAUCUGAUCUCAAAUCAGGUAGGACUACCCGCUGAACUUAAGC